CAGUCGCCGCGGGAAUACGGAGGGGGCUAGCGUUGUUCGGAAUUACUGGGCGUAAAGCGCACGUAGGCGGCUUUGUAAGUCAGAGGUGAAAGCCCGGGGCUCAACCCCGGAAUUGCCUUUGAGACUGCAUCGCUUGAAUCCAGGAGAGGUGAGUGGAAUUCCGAGUGUAGAGGUGAAAUUCGUAGAUAUUCGGAAGAACACCAGUGGCGAAGGCGGCUCACUGGAAUGGUAUUGACGCUGAGGUGCGAAAGCGUGGGGAGCAAACAGGAUUAGAUACCCGGGUAGUCCCUGUCUCUUAUAA
RNAcentral lists this ribosomal RNA (301 nucleotides) under uncultured bacterium. Its description in RNAcentral is "partial 16S ribosomal RNA". It matches the Rfam family "Bacterial small subunit ribosomal RNA", at positions 509 to 809 of the family's 1533-position model. The record is from RNAcentral.